This is a long non-coding RNA of Cyprinus carpio (common carp), 133 nucleotides long. Lineage: Eukaryota; Metazoa; Chordata; Actinopteri; Cypriniformes; Cyprinidae. The record is from Ensembl.
AAUCAGCCAAUCCUUCUCUGUGCUGUUCCUGAAGUUCUGUUCCUGACUGAAUUGCAGUGAGAAAGACAGGGACACCGGCAUGGAUCAAACCAGCAGUCGGCUGUCGUCCCAGCGAGGGCUCCAGUGUCUGUCU